Molecule: long non-coding RNA, 109 nt
Organism: Drosophila guanche
Lineage: Eukaryota; Metazoa; Arthropoda; Insecta; Diptera; Drosophilidae
Exons: 3
Source: RefSeq, a predicted model, not a curated record
GACACUGUCAGAGAAAAUAAUCGACAACGGCAAUAAGUACUUAGAGCAUUUACAUCCGCUUUGUUUCUUCAUUACGCAUUCGAAUACAAGCAAGAUAUCUGAAUAUUCC